This 468-nucleotide ribosomal RNA is filed under the name uncultured bacterium. RNAcentral's name for it is "partial 16S ribosomal RNA". It matches the Rfam family "Bacterial small subunit ribosomal RNA", at positions 28 to 507 of the family's 1533-position model. The record is from RNAcentral.
GACGAACGCUGGCGGCGUGCUUAACACAUGCAAGUCGAACGGAAAGGCCCUGCUUUUGUGGGGUGCUUGAGUGGCGAACGGGUAAGUAACACGUGAGUAACCUGCCCUUGACUUUGGGAUAACUUCAGGAAACUGGGGCUAAUACCGGAUAGGAGCUCCUGCUGCAUGGUGGGGGUUGGAAAGUUUCGGCGGUUGGGGAUGGACUCGCGGCUUAUCAGCUUGUUGGUGGGGUAGUGGCUUACCAAGGCUUUGACGGGUAGCCGGCCUGAGAGGGUGACCGGCCACAUUGGGACUGAGAUACGGCCCAGACUCCUACGGGAGGCAGCAGUGGGGAAUAUUGCACAAUGGGCGGAAGCCUGAUGCAGCAACGCCGCGUGCGGGAUGACGGCCUUCGGGUUGUAAACCGCUUUCGCCUGUGACGAAGCGUGAGUGACGGUAAUGGGUAAAAAAGCACCGGCUAACUACGUG